CAGUCGCCACGGUAAAACGUAGGUGGCAAGCGUUGUCCGGAAUUAUUGGGCGUAAAGGGUUCGCAGGCGGUUUCUUAAGUCUGAUGUGAAAGCCCCCGGCUCAACCGGGGAGGGUCAUUGGAAACUGGGAAACUUGAGUGCAGAAGAGGAGAGUGGAAUUCCACGUGUAGCGGUGAAAUGCGUAGAGAUGUGGAGGAACACCAGUGGCGAAGGCGACUCUCUGGUCUGUAACUGACGCUGAGGAGCGAAAGCGUGGGGAGCGAACAGGAUUAGAUACCCCAGUAGUCCCUGUCUCUUAUAC
Molecule: ribosomal RNA, 301 nt
Filed under: uncultured bacterium
Lineage: Bacteria
Description: partial 16S ribosomal RNA
Rfam family: Bacterial small subunit ribosomal RNA
Source: RNAcentral